This is a long non-coding RNA of Passer domesticus (house sparrow), 5222 nucleotides long. RefSeq lists it as uncharacterized. Lineage: Eukaryota; Metazoa; Chordata; Aves; Passeriformes; Passeridae. The transcript is spliced from 8 exons. The record is from RefSeq and is a predicted model, not a curated record.
CUGGAACCACACUUGCCUGCCUGGCUUUAUGACAUUCUACCCGGGCAGAGAGUUCUGAAAGGAAGCAAAACUCAUGUCUUAAUGAUGGAAAUCUCAUGAAGAGUUCUGAAGGAAAUCUACUUAAAAUAUUCCUUGAAGUAUAAGGAGGUGCUUAGUGCAUGCCCAGUAGGUGGGGAAUUCUACAGCAGAGGGGCAAUGGGGAGGAAAGAACAAUGGAAUCUUGUAGGUGUCUGCAUAGGCAGAGUGUCACAGUGCAUGUAAUUCUCUUUCCAUGGCAUGGAGAGGUAGGACAGUGCUAUCAGUUUGCAAAUUGCCCUACAAAAUGGAAGUGUUGCAACACACUUAAGGAUUAAAACAAAGACCCCAUCCAAAGGACUGAACUGGAAACUCCUCAAAACUCUCAGGGCAGCUUAUCACUUGAUCACUCUCCAUUUCUAGAUGACAUGGGUGAAUGAUGGUACUGAAGAGGUUAUGGAGUCUCCCUCACUGUGCAUAUUAAAAAACUGUCUGAAAGCUGUCACGGUUUAGGAAUGGUAUUCUCCAAUUAAGUCUUCCCACAGAAACCACUCCAAGCCAGGCACUUGCUUGUUCCCUCCUUUCACUUCUUCUCCCCUGCAAUGGAAUGAAAAGGAGAAUUGGAGGAACAAAGGGUAUAAAGAUCAUGGGUUGAAAUAAGGGCAAUUUACUGGAAACAGCAAUCAGUAAGAAAAACAGUAAGAACAGCAAUAAUGACAGAGGGUCCAAGAAAAGAAACGUCAUUGCUCACUGUGGAAACCUCCAGCAAUAGGAAAUACCCAACUGCUCCCUCUGCCACGCUACCCCACUGCUUCCAGCUCAGAUCCAGCACUAUCCAACCACUCCCUCUGGCUCAGAACUGGUGUCACCCAGCAGGUCUAUCCAGCUGGGAAGCAGGACCCCCUCACCACUCCCUUUGCCACUCUUGCUUGACUGGAAGGAACCCUUUCUCCUCAGAAGAGAGUUCCUUCACCCCACCCUUGGAAAAUGACAUGAGGUGGUAUAGAACAACCUCUGGGUUCUGGCUGUGCCCCUUCUGGCUACUGCAAAAAAAAAAUUGACCCUGUCCUGUCUGGAGUCAGGAUAAAUGCAAAGCUGCCCAAUGUGCUCUGCUUGAGCAGGGACAUUGGACCAGACGACCCACCGUGGUCUCUUAAACACUGUGUGACUGGGUGAUAGUUAGGUAUUUCAUCAUGCAUAAGAGUGGUUUUAUUAUUGAUCUUUAUGUGAGCUUGAGAGUGCCAGUUAAUAAAAAGUCCUCAUGCACCAGGAGCUGUGCACAUGAUGAGGUAUCUUACCAAAUAUACAAAUGCAUAAAAUUAUUGCAGUCCCUAAAUACACUUCCUGAAUCCGCCUGAAAUGCAGUUUAUCAAGACUAACUAAAAAGACUUCUAUUGUCCUCUAAUUCUGUCUAAAAUGUCCGCUUUAUUUCUCUGGUAGUGCUCUCUAUUUCAAUCCCCAGCAUUCUUUAAUAUUCACAGCAGGGUUAGGGGUUCAUAUCGUUGUUUCAGCUAAUUGGUGCUGCAAUAAAAGAAUAUGAAACAUAAAAGGAUCCUGGAGGAGAAUGUUAUAAAAAGCAUCAGGGCAAAGUGUCUAAAUGGGCAUGUCUGGUAUAGAACACCUGUAGCCUUUAAUUUAGAGCCUCUCCAGUUCCUCUGGGGUGCUCCUAAGAGAGAUUUAAAACAUCCUCAUCACACUUGGCUGUGGGCAACUUUUCCUCCUUGUUCUUGGUGCACAUCAAAUGCAGCUUAACAGAUAUUCAAUGAUUUUAUGAAACACAUGAUGAAGGAGGAGGUCCUGAGUUUGCACCUUGCUCUUCUUUCCUGAUUAAAAAAGAUUUUCUUAACUGAUCUCACAGGAAACAAAAGCACUGAAAAUCUUGGUGCUUAGUUUUGAAUCUGGUUGCUGUGUGUCUCUGACAGGCACAGAAGAGGCUGCAACAGUAAGAGGGCUGACAAAAACCAGCCAGCUCUUCAUGAUUCCUAAUCCUUGCUGAUAUUGGGCUUCCAAAUAGCCAUAAGCAUUUUCCUGAUAUGUCCAAGCAGAGAAAUCUUGUCUGGCAAGAGUUUGAGAAUUCUAGAAAUUUGUCUGUAGUUUUCUUGGGUACUGUUUGUCCAUGCGAUUCAAGCAUGGUGAGUCUGACACGCACUGAUCUCAUGGCAUGCGGUCACAUAUUUUCGUCUAGAAAUUUUGUACAUAACUAGACUGGGGAGAGCACCAAACCAUGAUUUUUCUAUCUUUCUUCUAGUGGUCUUUCCACAGUGCCCUGAAAUACACUGGAAGGUGAGCUGAUCAUGGUAGGCUUCUUUGAGCCACAGUGACUGGAUGGCACAGCUGAGGUCCACAAGUAAAACAGAGCCUUUAACCCAGGCAUGAACUGUCAAAAAGCAUCUAAUCUAGAUGUUCACGAUUAUUGUUAUAAACUGUGAACAUAUUGAAAACAGAGAGAGAAGAGCAGUAUCACCUUUCUCUGUGUUGAAAAAUUUAAAUCUUUUCUCUCACUUCUUUGGCUUUAUUUUUUUUUUAAGUAAUUUGAUCUUCCUGUUGGAAAAAUUUGUGUUUUCUAAUAGUAAACUUACUUAUAUCCUUUGAGAAUUUCUAAAUGCAAGGGAUAUCAGCAAGCUUAACUACAGGGAGUGCAACUCUCUUUGCUUACUCAUUUGCAUCAUUUGUUUCUCCCUCUUUUACUAGAAAGAAGAUAUGUUUUACCUCCACUGGCAGGGAGAAUAGUAAAAAAAAAUUAGUCUGGAUUCCUGAGAUCUGUUUUCAGUUAAUAUUUUAAGGAAUACCCAAACUGAAAUAGUCACCAGUUUGCUGAUUGGUCCUCUUAUAGUUUGGAUAUAAACAUAUAUGUCUCAUUUUCUUAUCAGAAGAAUGCAGAUUAGAAUAUUUGAAGCAUAUAUUGCACAGUUGCAGGGUGUUUUGAUCUGCAUUUGUAAUGAGGGGAAUAGGAAGAGCAAAUGGCAGCUGAAUAAUCACCUCAGAUUCUUGAGAUGACUUGCACUGCUGCUUCUCUGCAGCUCUUGCUGCUCUCCCCAAAGGACAGGAAUGAAUCAGCUCUGGGAGGAUGUGAACCAUGUUUUCUGUGACAAAGCCUGCAUUUCCCAUCGUGUUACCACACUGAAGCAAAAUGACUUUUCAAAAGCUGCCUCAAAUGCAUUCUCACUCCUGACAGGUGCAAGCAUGGCAGUAGGGCCUUUUUAGGAAAUGGUGAGAGAAAUAAAGUUGUUUGUGUAGGUGGUAAACAAGCACAAGUAGGAACAUGUUUUACGCAUGUGGAGCUGGACUGUGCAACUUUCUCUUCUGAGAUGUUUUUCAGGCUAAAGAUUGAGCAAACCCAGGAAAGACUGGAUAUUUGUGUGGAUGAGAAGGUCAUCCUGAGCUGCAGUAGAACCAGGACGAAAACAGCACAGGCUGGAGGGGAGGUAGUGUGGGAUGAGGAUUCAUAAAUGGGACAGGAACUCCAGGAGUGUAGAGUGUAGCUUGGACUCUACUGCAGUCUUGGCUUCAUUAACCUGUUCUGAAAGAGGAGAACAAAGAAUCAAUUGAAAUAUGUAAGACUGGAAAGUUUAACAUACUACAGCACUUAACUACAGUCUGCAGAAUAUUUAAAGUGUGGUUCCACUCUGAAGUUGGCAAGCUGAGGCAAUACCUAUGUGGAGCAUUAAAGCCAUUGGAUGCUGCAUUUAUUCUGUGGAUAUAAAAUUUGCAAUGCUCGAUAUUUAUUGCCUCUGUGAUUUUUGUAUGAAAUUUACUCAGCUGAUAAAUAAAGGGAGAGAUUCUGGACCUACCCGUCUUCAAAUCCAGUUCCUCUUCUGACUGCCUUCACUGGAUCUGUGCAAGGUAGACAAACAACUUAUGAACUUCAGAAAAUUCACAGGCUUCUUGAAAGAAGAAAGCAGCUGCCAGGGGGUGACAGAAUUUUAGAGGGUCUCACACCUUUCAUGUGACAAACCUGUCUACGUAGCUGCAGACUGCAGAGUGAGGGCAUUUCCUGGUAGGCUGGAAUUCAGGGUACACACGCUCUGUCUAAAGGCUUUGGUCGCAUAUUCUGAUGGUCGGCUUCAUGAAAUAAAAUUGGUUUGGGUUUUUUCCAAGCAAACCAUAUUUUUAAUCAGUCAUAUUUUCUUUCCAUGAAAACACUGACUUUUUGUCAGAAUUAAGGAAAAUAACUCUCUGAAAAACUUUUUGAAAACCUAUUAAUUUUUUUUCAAAAUAUUUUCAUGGGCAUGGUCCUUCUUUUUUGAUCAACAUUAAUUUUAAGCUUAAUGUCUAGUUUCAGGAGACCAAAAGCUAGAGCAUCUGUCUAGCAGACUAACAGUGUCUGUGCAAGUAUAAUCACUUCCCUAAUCAAGCUCUCAAAAUGAAGGCCUAUGUGUUUUCUGCAUCUCACACAAGGAGGAACGUAAAGACUUUUAAAAAGAAAUCAAACUAUAUAGUAUGUUGGCCACGUGUAUUGAAACAAAAAUAUAAAUGUGAAAUCCCAACACAUCAUAAAUUAAAUGAAAUAUAUCCAAACUAAUUAAAACACAAAUAAAAAAUUAAAAAAAAAAAACUACAACAAAAUCAAAACACAACCCCCCCUCAUUUAUCUUAUUAACUUAUAACUCAGCUCGAGCAAAGUAGUUUCUAUUUCUUUGGUUUCCAUGAACACAAGAUUUUAUGAGUACUGAUAUCAAAUUACUACAUAUUAUCUGAAAGUGCAACAUAAGAUCUGUCUGGGCAGUCAGUAAGAUGUCAUUCAUUAUUGUUUCACCUUGGGGACUGGAUAUUCAAUCUCAGAAAAUAAACACUCAAUGUAUAUUUCAUCCAUGGGACAGGGCCUUCUGUUACAGCUUGCUUUCUGAUAUACAGCUCCUACCUGAUACCAGAUAAUGCAAAUCCUAUCAGAUUCACCUAUGUUGUAACUUACUCCUGAAAUACCCAAAAUAUUUAAUUCCCUUGAGCUGCUCAUUAAAAAGAAGGUUAAAACCAUGUUUUUCUGUUAAGUAUUGAUAUGUGAAGUGCUGCUCCUAUUUUGAAAGCUCAGUAAAUGUUUAAUGUCAGUUUUGUCUGAUCUUGUGUGUUCAUAAAUUGAGUUCUGUUGAUUCAUUUCCUCUGGCAGCACUGCAAAGUUUUGCUACCAAUAGGAUGAAAGAGGUCAAAUUUUAGUUCCUGGGCAAUUUCCCUUCUUGCCUAUCACUUUCACAGGCUUUUACAAUGUCACA